Long non-coding RNA from Triticum dicoccoides, 613 nucleotides. RefSeq lists it as uncharacterized. NCBI's taxonomy places the organism in Eukaryota, Viridiplantae, Streptophyta, Magnoliopsida, Poales, Poaceae. The transcript is spliced from 3 exons. The record is from RefSeq and is a predicted model, not a curated record.
CUCUACUAAGUAAUUUUAUGCUCUAUGCUUUCGAGGUCUGGCUCAUAGGACAAGCUAUAAUAUGGAAACGGGAUGCUUUGCAAAUGCAGAGUAUCAGAUACUGGUGUUCUAUUGUUCUAUUCAUGACCCUACACAUGAUUACAACGCACAUGUGGAUGUUCAGCAGGGUAUCGACAUCUGCGAUUUCACCAUCUCUGCACCAUCCCGAGGUUUUGCGUCUGCUUCUCCUUCUCGGCAGAAGAUGGUAGUCGGUCAAAUAUCUGUAGCCCCUAUGUGUGGUUGUUCAGCAGGGUAUCACCAACAACGAUUUCCCCAUCUCUGCAUCAUCUCGAGAUUAUAUGGUGGAAAGAGGAGGCAUAGAGGGGGGUGGAGUGGGAAGAAGAGAGGGUGAGAGAGGAGGAAGUGGAGACCCUGCCGGCGUAUUGGUGAAAAACCACCUCCCUGACUUUCUACACCAUGGGUUAUCAUCUAAAAUUGAUUUUUAGAGGAAUCAGGACAUGUUCUUUUUUCCUUUCCACAGUUUCUCAUCUAAAAUGGAUUUUUAGAGGAAUUAGGAUCUGAUUCCUGGACCAUUUGCUGUGUACUGAAUGUGUAUGUACCAAUGCAAUGCUUC